GAUGAACGCUGGCGGCGUGCCUAAUACAUGCAAGUCGAGCGAACGGACGAGAAGCUUGCUUCUCUGAUGUUAGCGGCGGACGGGUGAGUAACACGUGGAUAACCUACCUAUAAGACUGGGAUAACUUCGGGAAACCGGAGCUAAUACCGGAUAAUAUUUUGAACCGCAUGGUUCAAAAGUGAAAGACGGUCUUGCUGUCACUUAUAGAUGGAUCCGCGCUGCAUUAGCUAGUUGGUAAGGUAACGGCUUACCAAGGCAACGAUGCAUAGCCGACCUGAGAGAGGGAUCGGCCACACUGGAACGGAGACACGGUCCAGACUCCUACGGGAGGCAGCAGUAGGGAAUCUGCCGCAAUGGGCGGAAGCCUUACGGAGCAGCGCCGCGUGAGUUAUAAAGGUCUUCGGAGCGUAAAACUCGGUUAUUAGGGAAGAACAUAUGUGUAAGUAACUGUGCACAUCUUGACGGUACCUAAUCAGAAAGCCACGGCUAACUACGUG
RNAcentral lists this ribosomal RNA (497 nucleotides) under uncultured bacterium. RNAcentral's name for it is "partial 16S ribosomal RNA". It matches the Rfam family "Bacterial small subunit ribosomal RNA", at positions 28 to 507 of the family's 1533-position model. The record is from RNAcentral.